GUAAUCAAUUGACACAAUUACCAAAAGAUGACUAUAUUCUUAAUUUUUUUCUAUUAUGGUUAUCUCACAAAUUCUCCCUAAUUUUUAUUGGUAACUGCGAGAUUGUAGACUCGCUCUCUUUCUCUCUUCGUAGAUGCAUGGUGACAAAGCAAACAGUUAGCAAUUUAAAACUCAAUCAUCUUCACAGACUUGGUAGUAUGAGAGCAUGUGUAUAAGUAGUAGAUACAAAUACAAUGGGAUAGUUAAUCCCCUAGCGACGUGUGAUAGCUGUCUCAGGAGCUAAAUAAGACUUAGCAGGAAUCUGAUCGUUUAUCUAUCGAGAGAGAGCCCCCUAACUCAUGGGAGCAUCUUCCCC
RNAcentral lists this long non-coding RNA (355 nucleotides) under Brassica rapa (field mustard). RNAcentral describes it as "long non-coding RNA (BRAP_LNC004773)". The record is from RNAcentral. Lineage: Eukaryota; Viridiplantae; Streptophyta; Magnoliopsida; Brassicales; Brassicaceae.